RNAcentral lists this ribosomal RNA (372 nucleotides) under uncultured organism. RNAcentral's name for it is "bacterial SSU rRNA". It matches the Rfam family "Bacterial small subunit ribosomal RNA", at positions 526 to 896 of the family's 1533-position model. The record is from RNAcentral.
CAGAGGUCCCAAGCGUUGUUCGGAUUCACUGGGCGUAAAGGGUGCGUAGGUGGUAAGGCAAGUCAGGUGUGAAAUCUCCGGGCUCAACCCGGAAAUGGCAUUCGAAACUACCUUGCUAGAGGAUUUGAGGGGGGACUGGAAUACUUGGUGUAGCAGUGAAAUGCGUAGAUAUCAAGUGGAACACCAGUGGCGAAGGCGAGUCCCUGGAAAAUUCCUGACACUGAGGCACGAAAGCUAGGGGAGCAAACAGGAUUAGAUACCCUGGUAGUCCUAGCCCUAAACGGUGCUUGCUUGCUGUAAGAGGAAUCGACCCCUCUUGUGGCGGAGCUAACGCGUUAAGCAAGCCGCCUGGGAAGUACGGUCGCAAGAUUA